UACAGAAUCAUUACCACUGCAUAGUUUAAUCUCAUCAGACCACAAAAUCUAAGCAAGUCUGGGCCUGGUCAGUACUGAGAUGGGAGACCUCUAAUGAAAGCAAGGUGGCUUCUGUGA
RNAcentral lists this ribosomal RNA (117 nucleotides) under Lepisosteus oculatus (spotted gar). The record is from RNAcentral. Lineage: Eukaryota; Metazoa; Chordata; Actinopteri; Semionotiformes; Lepisosteidae.